RNAcentral lists this ribosomal RNA (450 nucleotides) under uncultured bacterium. Its description in RNAcentral is "bacterial SSU rRNA". It matches the Rfam family "Bacterial small subunit ribosomal RNA", at positions 354 to 796 of the family's 1533-position model. The record is from RNAcentral.
GUGGGGAAUUUUGGACAAUGGGGGCAACCCUGAUCCAGCCAUGCCGCGUGUGUGAAGAAGGCCUUCGGGUUGUAAAGCACUUUCGGCGGGAACGAAAUCGCACGGGUGAAUAGCCUGUGCGGAUGACGGUACUCGCAGAAGAAGCACCGGCUAACUACGUGCCAGCAGCCGCGGUAAUACGUAGGGUGCGAGCGUUAAUCGGAAUUACUGGGCGUAAAGCGUGCGCAGGCGGCUUUUUAAGCCAGAUGUGAAAGCCCCGGGCUCAACCUGGGAACUGCAUUUGGGACUGGAAGGCUAGAGUGCGGAAGAGGGGGGUGGAAUUCCACGUGUAGCAGUGAAAUGCGUAGAGAUGUGGAGGAACACCGAUGGCGAAGGCAGCCCCCUGGGUCGACACUGACGCUCAUGCACGAAAGCGUGGGGAGCAAACAGGAUUAGAAACCCUUGUAGUCC